This 13975-nucleotide long non-coding RNA is filed under the name Pelobates cultripes (western spadefoot toad). Lineage: Eukaryota; Metazoa; Chordata; Amphibia; Anura; Pelobatidae. The record is from RNAcentral.
AUUAAAUAGUUAACUUGUUUAUAUGUAUUUUAUGCUUUUAUAAGGUUUAUAACAUGAUUAUUGCUGACUGAAGGAAUAUUGAAUACUUAAAGUCAAUAUGCUGACUGUGACAGACUAAGGUAUUUCUUCUAUAGGAUGUAAGACAAUGCUAAAAUUUCAGGAUGUCUUGCCCAUUCCGAUUUCAGGAUAUUAUUUUCCAGACGUAUGCAAAAAAGCUUAUCUUCCCAUUGUCAGAAUAACAUGUAAUAUAUAAGGAAGUAAUAAAUCGUAUAAUCUGUAUUGUAUUGCAUAUCUCAUGACUAAGGUAAACAAAACUGUAUAAAUGCUAGCUUCACAGUAAUACAGAUUGAGAACUUGUUAAGCACCUUCGUGUCUGUCUGUUAUUUGCUAAGCAAGUCUCUCCCGUCAAUUGAUGUGGUGAACAGAGGAUCGAGAACCGAGGGUUGAGUCCAGGACAGCAUUAACCCUUUCAGCUUGGUGUCUAGAAGUGGGAUAGAAGUUGGAUCAGCAAAAUCAUUGGGUAAGUAGCCUUUUUGUGUCUUAUUUGACGCUGAUUGUCUAUGACCCCUUUGGUUUAGUAAGACUGUAUCCAGUACAUAGGAAAGGUGUAAGGACUCUAGUUAUAUUGAGACUGUAAAUAGGUCUCCGGUUUAUUAGACAUUUGGUCUAAAUAUAUAGGGUUUUGGUAACCCAGGUUAGUAUCUAAGAUAGAUACAGGUUUUUGAGACCAUAAGAGGUCUCCGGUUUAUUAUAGGGUUUUGGUAACCCAGGUUAGUAUCUAAGAUAGAUACAGGGUAUCUCAGGUAGAUACAGGUUUUUGAGACCAUAAGAGGUCUCCGGUUUAUUAAGUCUAUAGGUGUUCUGAGCAGCACAGUUUGUAGAUCUAUAAGUAUAACCCAAACUUCUCUUUCUCCCGGUCACCUUUGUUUGUCUUAAGUGUUUUUUGUGGGUGAUUGUUUGUCUAUAUUGGGGACACACUUUGGUAAGUUAGUAGUGUCCCCACUCUGAAUCAGCAGUAUGGGAAAUGUGAGUUCAGGUCCUGAGUGACCAAUAUGUGUAUGUAUAUAUGUGUAUAUGUAUGUAUAUAUGUGUGUGUAUAUGUAUAUGUGUAUAUAUAAGAUAGCAGUACUUUUAAACAAAUGGAGGUUUUAAAAAUACAUAGGGAUUAAGGAAAGAACGCAGGUAAUUUGUUUUUCUUUGGUUUUUACCAUAUAUUGGGGCUGAUGUGUACUGUAGUCCUUGCUGCUGUCCAGUAGUGAUGGGAGUGAGCGCAGGACUUAUCUUUCUGCAAGAUAGCAGUACUGUAUAUUAGAAAAGAAAUGACUCACAGGUUGUACCUGAUAAACCUACUUAAAUCUUUUUGCUUUAUUCUUUCUGUCGCAUAGAAGUAUAAGUUUAUUACUCUGUUUUAUUGUAAGUUAUUUCACAUGGGAACUGUGUGCCUGGAAUGAUUGUUGCUUUAAAAAUACUAUAAGCCCACUACAUUUAUUAUGAGAGUGGGAUAGUGUAAAUGUGUUGCAUUGUUUGCAUGAUGAGCUCAGUAUAUUUUAUAACUGAGACAAAAAGUCACUUCAUUAGUAUUUGAAAGUUAAUUCCCCAUAUGGGAUUAAUUGUAUAGAAACACCAAUCAGCACAUCUUCCAUGCCCUGUGUGUUUGUUGCAAAGGAUCCAUACUGUAAAUAUGAUUUUAUUAAUGACACGGAGGCUCAUAUUAUGCUUUCUCUUUCUUUUAUUAUUCUCCUCAGCAGCAAGAAUUUAACUUGAAAGAGAAUAAAAACGAAAUAACAUAAGUAAUCUGCCUAGUAACAGGGCAGCCAAUCAUAUACACUUAUCAACAUUAAGUGUCUUGAACAGUCUUCUAACUUCCUCUUUCUUGCUGCUCCUCAGAUCAGAUAAGUGAUUUUUUUUUUUCUGUACUCUUUACUUUUUCAUUACACACAUAAUAUUUGUUUCUAUCACUUUAAAUGUUGUAAAUUUUAAUGUUUCAUGUUGUUCAUUUCUAUGUUGUCCCUGUUUCAGGGUCAGUAUUUUAGUGCUUAGCUCUGCUUAGGCUCAGACAUUUUCCCUCUCUCCCUGGCUUUCACUAACUGCCAGGGCUGAGAGGGGUCUGACAGGCUGUGAGACCGCACCGCCCGCGCGUCUGCGGUCUCACUAGUGCCCUCCCUCCCUCCCUUCUGUGUAAUUGCCGGCACCCGCUUAGACAUCCCAGCGGGUGCCGAGCAGCUCUAUCUCCCUCUUUUCCCCUGCCGGGUUUACUUCCGCCCGGCGGUCUGAGGCCGCGGGGAGCUCUCUCCUCGCGGCCAUUACUGGAGGGGGGGUGGAGCAAGUUCGCCUUCGGCGCGCUUCUCUUCUCUGAAGCGCGGGAAGGCUGAACGGCUCCUAGUUGCUCCUGCUGCCCUCCGUGGGCAAGGUUGUACGGUUUCUAUUUUCCCAUAUUUGCUUCUAAGGGUUAAUCAACCCUUUUUCUCACUACCCUUCUCUUUGUUUGUUUGUUUGUAUCCUGUAAGUUUUUUCUGCAGUUUAGUCUGUAACUGACUGUGUGCUGGGGGUUUGUUUCUGGGUUAAUUUAAUUUAAAGACAUCUCUCCCAAUAAAUAAAAAAAAAAAAAAAUAAAAAAUAAAAAAAAAAUAAAAAAUAAUAAUAAUAAUAAUAAAGGAAAACCCUGUGGGAUUUAUCCAGACCUGUUGCUCCCUGCCUAGCACACAUAUUCAGUCAUUCCCAUUCAGUCAUUUCCAUUGGUUGCACACCUAUUCAGUCAUUCCCAUUGGUGAAUUGGAUAAUACAAUGCAAAAUCACGGGGAUGGACAUGGGGGCCCUGGAUGCCCUAAUAUAGAGAAUACCUUACCCACCCCUGGCCUAGACCCGGGUCUUUUACCCUCUCAGGAAUUCCAGUCUCUCCUGGAAUCAACUAUGGCCGGUUCGGUCCAGCGAGCCUUGGCUUCAGCCAUGGGCUCGGUGUCCACCUCCCUAUCCCAUUCUCUGGCCCAGGCACUCAUGUUGCCCCCUGAAGUGCAACCUACUAUAACGGCCCAAACUGAUAUACCAGUCCCUGCGGCCCGCAAGGCAAAAGCCAAGACUAAGCAUACAUCAACGCUCCCACUGAUGCAGGUCUCCCCUGCCAUGACUGACCCGCCUAUGGCGGUCGUGUUGCCACGCACAAGAGCCACUGGUCGGGCGCAAGCGGCCAGAAAUUGGAAACGGGCACGUGCCCAAUACGAAGAGUCAGAUUCUGACAAUAGUGAGGAGAUGGGGUCAGACGACCCGGAUUAUAUUUACAAUGCUAUGGCUUCUGACUCAGAUGAGGAGUCUAGUCCUGUAGUGGAACCGACGGGUGUGGAGGAUGGUGUUCGGGACCCUCAAGGGUAUCCCCUGUUCGACCCGGACAACCUCCGCCACCCUCGCUCGGCGGAGUGGGACCCGCCAACGCACAUUGCGCAGUAUUUGGCGCUCCGUCUGCGUACCCCUCUCUCUAACGAGAGUAGGAAUAAACUCCGGGCAGAGUGUCCCAGACCCUCCGUACCAGACAUGGCCUGCAAAACCCCCAUGGUGGACCCACAUAUCGCCCAAUUCCUCUCAAAAUCUGGCUGGAAGCCCAAGAAGGGGCUGGAGUUCUCACUCCACAGCUGUCAAGACAAAAUACUAGACACCCUGGGGCCAACCACAAAAUUAUAUGAAUUACUCGAAUCCGCUAAAGCGGGAGAGUCCACCAUUGAUUUCGAUGUAGCCAUCGGAUGGGUCCAACGGCUUAUCUGCUUGUUGGGUAAUGCCAACACAGCCAUCUCGGCGGAACGCCGUAAAUCAAUCCUACUUAAGAUUGAACCUAAGUUGAUUAACUUGGCAAAUAGAGAACCUGGACCCACAGCCCAGGGAAUGUUAUUUGGAGAGUCCUUUGUCAAGGACAUCGGGGCUUUUGUCAAAACUUUUACUACUUUAGAUAAGGCUCAGGCCAACCUUAAGAAAGUGUUUAACCCCAAGGUUUUGCACGGGGCCGGGAGAUCUAGGAGCCGUCCACCCGGCCGAGUCUAUCGGGGCCCCUCCAGGGCCCAUAGAGGCUCCUUCGGAGCGCCCCGCACGUACCAGGAGUUCCGUCCGUCACCCUUCUUUCCGUCCAGGGGACGUCCAUGGCCUUCUCGGGGAAGCCGCAGGCAAUCUACUUACAGGCGACCUUACGGUAAGUGCAAUAUCUCUCAUUCCUCCACAUCUACACAUAGGGGGCAGGCUCGCGCUGUUUGCGCAUGCAUGGGACGAGCUCACAAAAGACGCUUGGGUGUUACAAACCGUCAGGGGUUUCUAUCUCGACCUUUUAUCUACCCCAUUCCAAAUCCAUGCCCCAAGAGAACUGACACUGGCCCCAGACCAAACCAAACUCAUAACAAAGGAGAUUACAGAUCUCCAUGCCAAACGGGCAAUCCAAGAGAUCCCAUACGAUACACCAGGUUUUACCAGCAACUUAUUUUUGGUAGCCAAAAAAGGCGGAGGUAUGUGGCCAGUCAUAAACUUAAAGGAACUCAAUGCGUUCCUCGCAUACCAACACUUCAAAAUGGAGGGCAUUCAUUGCCUCAGAGAUUUACUACAACAGGGAGAUUGGAUGGUCAAAUUGGACCUCAAGGACGCGUACCUCACCGUCCCUAUUGCGGAGGCACACUGGGACCUCUUGCAUUUCACAUGGCUAGGGCGACGUUGGAGAUUUACAUGUCUGCCCUUCGGUCUCUCAUCGGCCCCCUGGUGCUUCACAAAACUCAUGAAGCCUGUGGUAGCCUUUCUCAGAGCACGAGGAAUUCGUCUGAUCAUAUAUCUGGACGAUAUUUUAAUCAUGGCAUCCUCACAAGACCAAGUACUGCUCCACCUACAGUGGACCAUCACGUUACUCGAGACUCUGGGCUUUUUGAUAAAUUGGGAAAAAUCCAUAACCAAUCCGGCCCAAAAGAUAGAGUUCCUGGGAUUCCAGAUCGACGCAAUCUCACAAUUCUUACUCCUCCCGGAAACGAAAUUGAAGGCCAUCAAAAAAGAGAUCAGGCGCACAUUACGAGCUCAAUCUCUCUCUAUUCGACAACUAGCUCGAGUCUUAGGACUACUGGCUUCCUCGAUACAAGCCAUCUUCCCAGGGCCUCUACACUAUCGUGCCCUACAGCGGCUAAAAGGUUCUCACCUCAGGUCCGGCCGUUCAUACGAAUCCGCACUAGUCCUGGAUGUGGAAUCACGGGAGGAGCUGAGGUGGUGGCUAGACCAUAUGGAGGCGUGGAACGGCCGAGCAAUAUUUGGAACCAGCCCGGACCUGAUUAUAGAAUCGGAUGCAAGCCUCCAUGGCUGGGGCGCGCGUUGUGGCAACAUAUCCACCGGUGGCAGAUGGUCCAUGGAGGAAUCCACAAUGCACAUAAAUUGCCUGGAACUUCUGGCAGGAUCGUUCGCCGUCCGCAGUCUCUCCCCUACGGUAGGGAGAUGUUGUAUACUGCUCCGUAUGGACAACAUCUCGGCAGUCCGUUAUAUCAAUCAUCUAGGAGGCACCAAAUCCAAACGACUAGCAAACCUAGCGAAAGAAUUUUGGCAGUUUUGCCUUCAGAACGAGAUUGCGGUGACAGCGGAACACAUUCCGGGCUUGGACAACGUACAAGCGGACUGGAAUUCCAGAUAUCUGAGAGAUCCGGGAGACUGGCGCCUUCUCCGCUCUACCUUUUGCCAAAUAGACGAAUUGUGGGGACCACUGGAUGUAGACCUUUUUGCAUCCAGACUGAACAGUCAUCUGCCUCGAUACUUCAGCUGGCGACCAGAUCCAACAGCCUCGGGGACGGAUGCUUUCCUGCAGACGUGGCCGAAGUCUCGACAUUACGCAUUUCCCCCUUUCAAUCUCAUUUCCAGGACACUAUCAUACCUAUGCACACAGGACUGUUCACUAGUGAUAGUGGUUCCACUAUGGCAUGCUCAGCCGUGGUUUCCUCGUCUACUAGAAAUGGCAAUCGACUCUCCACGAGUAAUACCAUCAACACCAGACUUGCUAUUGGAUCCAGAGGGGAAUCCGCACAACCUGAUCAAUCAGGGCUUGCUGCAACUCACGGUCUGGUUGAUUUCCGGAGUCCCUGGACGUUCACAGACAUUCCACAGACGGUUACAAGACUCAUGGAUAACUCCUGGGCUCCAGGGACCAGAGCAGCCUAUAACUCUGCUUGGCGAGUGUGGGCUAGCUGGUGCAUGGAACGGUCAGUGGAUCCAGUUUCAGCACCUCUGAAAGAAGUACUGGAGUUUUUGACGUCCCUUUUCGAAGAAGGAGGAGCGUAUCGUACCAUUAACGUGUACAGGUCGGCGAUCUCGGCAGGACACCGAAACCUGGAAGGCUCCCCGAUCGGUCAGCAUCCUUUCGUUUGUAGACUCCUGAAGGGGAUACGCUUUGAGAAACCUCCACAGACCCGCUAUUCUUCAUUCUGGGAUGUCAACAUUGUCUUACACUUCUUGGAAGAAUGGAGGCCAAAUGAGGAACUCUCCCUUAAACACCUGUCUUGGAAAUUGCUGACUCUGUUAUGCUUACUGUCCUGCAAGAGGAUAUCGGACGUGCGAGCCUUGGACUGGGACGCAUUAUCAUUCACCCCAGAGGGAGUGUCAUUCUCCAUAUCGAGACGAACUAAAGGCAAUACAAAAUCUAUCUCUUACCCGAGAUACCCGGGACAUCCCUCACUUUGUCCGGUCAGAUGCCUUCGGUCCUACCUGGAUCGUACUCAGAAGUUACGCUCACCUGCAUCAAGUCAAUUAUUUAUAUCCUUUCGAACCCCUUUUCUACCAGUGUCCACGCCCACGUUAGCUCGUUGGGUCAAGAACCUGUUAGCAUUAACAGGAAUUGACACUUCGAAAUUCUCUGCACAUUCGAGGCGCGAUGGCAUCCAAGGCGUCAACGAUUGGUUGUCGCCUCGAGGACAUAUUAAAGGCCGCUGAUUGGUCACAAGUAUCGACGUUCAGAGAAUUCUAUUUUCGGCCAAUUGAACAUAUCUCUCUUCAGGUAGUGGCCAAGCUUUGAACUAGCAUAAUAUGAGCCUCCGUGUCAUUAAUAAAAUUCCAAGAUUUUACUAGUAACAUGACGUAAAGUCAUGAUUUUAUUAAUGACACGGAGGCGAGUAUUAUCCCCACCCACCCACCCGGUGGGCAUGAGACAGUCUAUAAGGAGAGUCUUAAGACUCUCGCAAAGGUAAGUAACAAGGAAUUUCAAGGGCAUGUACACCAUCCUUUAUGUACACACAUAACUUGUUUUAUCAGUUGGUUAUAUCGAUUGUAAGGAACAUAAGGAAUAAGGAUAACAUACAGUUCCAAAGUUUGGAUUUUAUCAUACAUUCUCUUUGUUUCCACAGCGUAACGUACUGGACACAGACUGGGUGGAAUAUCGGAAGUUAUGGAAAGUUACGACGGCUUUUCGUCGACACAGACAAGAAAGAGGAAGUUAGAAGACUGUUCAAGACACUUAAUGUUGAUAAAUGUAUACGAUUGGCUGCCCUGUUACUAGGCAGAUUACUUAUGUUAUUUCGUUUUUAUUCUCUUUCAAGUUAAAUUCUUGCUGCUGAGGAGAAUAAUAAAAGAAAGAGAAAGCAUAAUACUCGCCUCCGUGUCAUUAAUAAAAUCAUGACUUUACGUCAUGUUACUAGUAAAAUCUUGGAAUUUUUGUUUGAAAAUAACAGAGCAACAUUUACAUUUUCAGCGGUCCAACACAUGCUUUAUUUUGCGCUGUAAACUAACCUUUUUAUUGCAACAGGUUCCUUUUAAGUGAUCCAGUGUAAUAACUACUGCUUGUGUCUUCUAUGUCUCACAUUAUGUUUUAUUUUAAAUUGUGGUAUAUAGCCUGAAUCAGACAUCAUGGACAAAGGUUUUUACCUGUGUUACUAAGGGCUCUUGGAGACUGACCGGUCUAAAGGUUUGCCAUGCCUUUAAAACAUGGUAUAGUAUAAAUUUUUAAGUCUCUGAGAGUUCUGAAAGAUUCAGGUGAAACCAUGUCUGUUUAAUCUGGUCCAGAUGUUUGUUCAAUUUCUGUAAGAUUUAAGUUGAUGCAGCAUCAUCUCAGAUUAGUUAAUGGUAGUUUUAUACAAAUAGUUGAGUUAUGAGCGCGCUAUAUAAAUGGAUCCUUUCUUUAAAUACAAUACUAUAGUAGAUUAAAGUAAUGAAGUUAAUUAAGAAAAUGUAUACAUAAGAAUCCCUAAAAUAAAUCUAAACUAAAAUUGGUAUACCUUCCAAUAAUAUGUUCUGAAUACAGCUGUUAACUGUUUGUUCUGUGUAAAUGGUGAUUGUGAUAAUGUGUGAAGUGUGCAGUUUAACUUGAAAGUGGUUUAAUUUAUAUGUUGCUGUAUUGUUUUAAAUUAUAUGUGAAUCAGUUUGUCACAGUCUAGUGAUACUGAUAAGAAUGACAGCCAAAUAACCUAGCAAAUAACUGUUUUAUUAGUUGUUGAAUACUAGCGUUUUGGCCAAGAAUAGUUGGAGAUUUGGAGGUGUUAGUUUAAGAUUGCUUUUAUAUUGUGUCUAUCCGUGUUUCCUAGGAGGGAGACAGAGUGUGUAGUUGUGUGCCCAUAAAUGUGAUUUCUGUAUUGGCAUAUCUGCUGGGUACCCAUUAUGUGUUUCUACAAAGAUAUUGUUUUGUGAGAUGACGUGUAAUAUUACAUGGGAUGCUGAGUAUGAGUUAUAUGGUUUGAAAUGAAUUGGUGAUUAUGAGCUUAGUACUUCAGUAAGAUGUGCUAAAAUUUGGAACAAGGUGGAAGCUGAAAUGUUGGGAUUAUGGAAGAAUAGGUAGUCUAUAUUCACUGCUUUGGCAUAUAAGCAAGAUGCAAAGGAAGAGAUUGGUAAUAUGAUUUUUGUAAAGAAAUUUUACAAGUGUUGGAAGGAUGAGGCAGGUUUGAUGUCUGGAGAUGAUAUAGAUAUCUUUAAAAUACAGUCAUGCCUUGGUAAUAUGUUGCCACAGUAUUCUUUGCUUGUGAAACAAUUGAUUUCAGACUGGGCCAAUUUGGAUAGCUCAGAUUUUCUUACCAAGGUUAUAGAAAAGGAAAAUGCAGGUUGUUUUGAAUUAAGAAAAGAUUUAGGAAAGUAAGGUUGCUUAUUAUGCUCAGGGAUUGCAACAUAUUAUGUCCAGCUACACAGGCUGAGAGCGAGGAUGGGAUGGAGCACAUAAAGCCCGCGGAAGGGGUGGUCAAAGAGGGGCAAGGGGAUGGAGACAGGGAAAUCAGGGUUAUAGGGGCAGGGGUAACCAAGGAGGAAUAGUCAGGAACACUUGUUUCAACUGUGGCCAAUAUGGCCACUGGAGGAAUGAGUGUCCACACCCCAGGAAACCCCAGGAAACCCUACACACCCCAACAACCCCACCUUUCUCAAAAUAUGCCCGGUAGGCAAGAACAACACCAGACCCACUCCCAACACCACUGGCCAGCAUAUCGCUUAGUUCAGGACUUUAGAGCCCUGAAUAGUUUAAUUGUGCCCAUUUCACCCAUUGUCCCUGAUAUGACAUCCCUCGUUACAGCCAUUCCACAUGAUGCCACUUGCUUCACUGUCAUUGAUUUAAGUAAUGCAUUUUUUCUAUACCUAUUGAUCAAGAGACACAGCUACUUAUGGUUUUUAUUUUUUGAAGGCUGCCAGUUUACCUGGACACGCUUACCCAAGGCUAUGUGGAUUCCCCAGCUGUUUAUUCGUUGGUACUCCAACAUACUCUAAAAAAAAAAAAACAUGGACCACCGGUCAUGGUUCCGUCCUUUUUGCAAAAUGUUGAUGAUUUGUUGUUAUGUAGCCCUAGCUAUGAGGCAAGCACUGUGGAUACUGUCAGUUUGCUCAGACACUUAGCAACUGUAGGUCACAAGGUUGUUAAACACAAAAUGCAAUUGUGUAAAUCAAAGGUUGAAUACUUAGGUUUUGUUCUGGCUUUAGGCACCAGACAAUUGAGUCCAAAACGUAUUGAGGUCAUUCAGAGGAUUCCAACACCCACUACUCGGAAGGAGUUGCUCACCUUCCUCGGCAUGAUUAAUUACUGCCACCAAUGGAUCCCUGAAUGCUCCCAUUAUGACUCAAUCCUAAGGGAGGCUGUACGUUCUGACAGCCCUGAAAAUGUCUGCUGGUCACCAGACAUGCUAGCUGCAUAUAUUGCCCUUACAGUUGUUAUUGUGCAAGCCCAGGCUUUAGGACUACCUGUGUAUUGUAAACCAUUUCAUUUGUAUGCUUGGGACAAUUGUAAAACCAUGGCCGCGGUCUGUGCACAAGAGCAAGGAGGCGGUAUGCGUCCCAUAGCAUUCUUUUCCAAAGUAGUUCGAGCUCCGGUACAGGGUAUGCCGGCGUGUCUCAGAGCAUUGAUAGCAUGUGCAAUGGCUGUUGAAACUGCUACUACUAUCACACUAGGGCAUCCUACAAUACUUCAUGCCAGUCACCAGGUCACUCAGCUGACAAAUCUCACCACACAACACAUGACAGCCCAGCGCUUCAGUGGUUAUGAGAUUCUUUUUUUAAUACCCAGAAUCUGUUUUUGGAUUAAAUAAGGUUUAGAGAAAGAUCAGAAUGAUCUGUUCUCUAAAGAGGGGAGAAUAGGCAUACUUGAAGAAUAGGCAUACUUGAAGCAAGCUGAUUUAUUUUCAUCAGUCAGGCACAUAGCAAGCACCAUUCAAUUCUUCAUGAAUUCAUUUUAUAUUAGGAAUCUCAGGCAGCAUGUACAGUCUUUUGUAAGAUCGUGUGAACACUGCUCUUUUUACACACUUACAGAUUGAUUUUAUUCAUGUAUCCAAAAUUGGUAAGAAACAGCAAUACUUACUGGUCAUAGUUGAUCAGUUUAGUAGAUGGCAUGAUGCCUUUGUGACAUCUAGGGAAGAUGCUAGUGAAGAUUAUUGUUACUGAAAUUAUUCCCCGGUAUUGCUGCCCUCUGUAGAUUGGCUCUGAUAAUGGCCCGGUUUUUGCCAGUAGGGUUGCCCAGGAACUUGCUAAAUUCUUGCAAGUUACCUGGCAGUUUCAUAUACCCUAUCAUCCACAGAAUACAGGGGUAGUUGAAAGGAUGAAUAGGACUAUUAAGGAAAAGCCCAGAAUUUACCCAGGAACAUGGGUAAAUUGGACUAGAUAUCUACCAGCUAUUUUAGCUGAGAUAAGAGUGAUUCCUCACAAGGUGACUAAAUUAUCUCCAUUUGAGAUUUUGAUGGGAUGACCUUUUCCCACACCCUGGGCCAGGGAACUGCUUGUUAUAAUGUCUGGGGAUUUACAGCUAAUACAAGAACAAUAUGUACAGGAGUUGUUGAUAAAACCGAAUGGUAUGUAUGACAAUGUUUCUUCGCAGUUUUCCCUUACCUUCACAGGAACCUACUCAUUCAUACCAGCCCGGUGACAAGGUGUAUAUCCGUCAGCUGAACAGGACCAAGAAAGGAGGAUACCCUUUUGGACCACCUGCUACUGUGAUUGCUGUAACCAGAACCGCUGUCCUCACAGAUUCCCAUGACAUCUGGAUUCACGCAUCCCGAGUGAAGCUGUGUCCAAAGAGGGGAACCAAGGAAGACAACACCACUCCUCGCUCGGAAACAGAAGAAGUCCCCCUUAGCGAAGCAUCAUGGUUUUCACACCAUAUCGUAGAUUGAGAGGAUCAUACGAAUCUGAGACCAAGAUUAUGUUGUGUGCUAUGUUUUCUGGAGUAGUUAUACUCCCUUUGAUAUUGUUCCUUGAAUGCCAUUAUGAAUACGAGGCAAUGGCAAGUUUGAAACCUGUUUGUUUCUGGAAAGAAGACUCUGACAUGAUGAACAAUUCUUCAAUACCCCCAGCCCAAUUAGGCCUUAACCCCUCAUCUAGCAUUCGUCACACACGCUCCCUCAAGAACUUUUCUCCACCACCUUUUUAUCAGCAUGUAAUAUGCAAUCAUUCAUUCACUGAACGCAUUUGGAUGAAUUGGACAAAUAAUAACCCUUAUAAGUAUCAAUUACUCAUAUGGAAUGUGUCCACAGCUAAUGAAACCGAUGCAUUAUGUUUGUUUGAAGGUUCACGGAAAAUUGUUAGAUCUUAUAACACAGAAAUGUGCACAGUUAAGGUUGCUAAUUACACUGGUAUCUGUGCCACCUUAUUUAAUAUAAGUUCUGAUGGUAAGAGAAAACCAUCUAAACAGGUUUGGGAUAUAUAUUAUAAGAAAAUUAGUAAGGUUGCAUAUCAAUGUAAACAAACAGGCCUUAUUACUUUUAAUAAUGAUUAUACAACUGGUACCAUUAAUUGGAAAAAGGGACAAAUGUUAGUCAUUAUGAAUGACACUGCAAUUGAGAACUAUACACUACCUUAUAUUUUUACACCUUAUUACUGUCCUUUAUCCUCUAACAUAGAACCAAAAGUCAACAACGACACACACACACCUAUUCCAUCCACAUGUGUUAAUACAACUGCCUUCUUACAAGCUGUACAUGUGUCAUUAAAAGUCACUACUCUUGUUGUAACAUUAUGUAACACAGCAAACAAAAGGCAGAAAAGGGAAUGGUAUGACACACUGUUAGGAGGUGCUGGAACCACUAUGGGUAUACUAAAUAGUAUAGACAUGGAGACCCUCAAGAAUAAGUUAAACACAGCCAGUAUGCAUAUAGGGACUGGUUUUCAUGCUACUGCAAACUGGGCUCCAACUGUUGUUAAAUCACAGGUUACAGGAUUGGAUUUAGAUAAAUCAAUGUAUAAUUAUUUAGAUAAUUUAACUGUUGCAACUAUGAAAUUCACAACAGGUCUAAGUAAUUGGAGUACUUGUGCCAUCAGGUAUUUAUGGAUGCAACACCAAAGAUCGGCAUUAGAAGACAUACUAAUGAUUCCUAAAUUAGAGAAGAUUAGAGGAAUGCUUAACCUCACAGAUAAUGAAUGGUUACUUCUGAAACCCCAAUCCACUAAAUGCAAUGAAUGGUUAACUGGUACUGUAUCACAUUUUUCAUGCUCAUGCUAUUUUACAUUAUAUCAUACAACAUCAAAGGAUGUUAAAUUAGCUUGUCAAUUUAACACAUUACCAGUACCAGUUUAUGAUCUCUUUGCCAAGAAUUUAACCUGGUGGGCACCCACAUACACAGGGGACUAUAUUUUUCCCAAAGAUAACACACACAGGUAGCCACACAUAUCCUAAAAGGAGAACUCCUUAAGGUGAGUUCACAAAUUCAGAAUGAUUUAGCCCAUCAUUGGUACAAUGCUUUACUGGUUGGUCCCCUACUGGAUUCCAGAUAAUGAAAUCAUUCUUCUAUCAUUUUUUUAUUAUAGUCCUGAUUUUAUUGUGUAUGAUUUUAUAUAACUGUCACCUUAUUUGUACAUUGAGGAAGUGAGUACAGAAAUGAAUCCAUAAUGCAGAACAGAAACAAUUAGAAAUUCUCCUCUCUGCCACUGGAGGGUAUCAACCCAUCUUUAAACUGGGCCUUAGGAAUUACCACAUGGGAAUCGAGGUGAAGAAAUUAAUGAAAGUCCCGCAGGGAGUGACUAGCACCCCUGAAAAUACCAUGUGGAAGUUUCUCUGUCCUGGUAAGAUUUUAUCGAUAAGAUGAGCAAUUGUUUUAUUGCUCAAAGAGGGGAAUGUAAGAAUAUUAAAUAGUUAACUUGUUUAUAUGUAUUUUAUGCUUUUAUAAGGUUUAUAACAUGAUUAUUGCUGACUGAAGGAAUAUUGAAUACUUAAAGUCAAUAUGCUGACUGUGACAGACUAAGGUAUUUCUUCUAUAGGAUGUAAGACAAUGCUAAAUCUCAGGAUGUCUUGCCCAUUCCGAUUUUAAGGAUAUUCUUUUCCAGACGUAUGCAAAAGCUUAUCUUUCCAUUGUCAGAAUAACGUAAUAUAAGGAAGUAAUAAAUCUUAUAGUCUGUACUGUAAUGAAUGACAUAUACCAUGGCUAAUGUAAGCAAACUAUGUAUAAAAGCCAGCUCUGGAAUACACUCAUUUGAGAGUCUUGUAAAGCUGUUGUCCGUGUGUUAAUGCUUACAAUGAUCCUCCAUCAACGUUGAUUAUGGUGACCGAGGGAUCGAGAACCGAGGGGAUUAGAGUCCAUUACAACAUUAACCCUUUCAC